GUCGAGCGGAACGAGUUCACUGAACCUUCGGGGAACGUGAACGGCGUCGAGCGGCGGACGGGUGAGUAAUGCCUGGGAAAUUGCCCUGAUGUGGGGGAUAACCAUUGGAAACGAUGGCUAAUACCGCAUAAUAGCUUCGGCUCAAAGAGGGGGACCUUCGGGCCUCUCGCGUCAGGAUAUGCCCAGGUGGGAUUAGCUAGUUGGUGAGGUAAGGGCUCACCAAGGCAACGAUCCCUAGCUGGUCUGAGAGGAUGAUCAGCCACACUGGAACUGAGACACGGUCCAGACUCCUACGGGAGGCAGCAGUGGGGAAUAUUGCACAAUGGGCGCAAGCCUGAUGCAGCCAUGCCGCGUGUAUGAAGAAGGCCUUCGGGUUGUAAAGUACUUUCAGCAGUGAGGAAGGUAUCGUAGUUAAUAGCUGCGGUAUUUGACGUUAGCUGCAGAAGAAGCACCGGCUAACUCCGUGCCAGCAGCCGCGGUAAUACGGAGGGUGCGAGCGUUAAUCGGAAUUACUGGGCGUAAAGCGCAUGCAGGUGGUUUGUUAAGUCAGAUGUGAAAGCCCGGGGCUCAACCUCGGAAUUGCAUUUGAAACUGGCA
RNAcentral lists this ribosomal RNA (597 nucleotides) under uncultured Vibrio sp. Its description in RNAcentral is "bacterial SSU rRNA". It matches the Rfam family "Bacterial small subunit ribosomal RNA", at positions 61 to 638 of the family's 1533-position model. Lineage: Bacteria; Pseudomonadati; Pseudomonadota; Gammaproteobacteria; Vibrionales; Vibrionaceae. The record is from RNAcentral.